CAGUCGCCGCGGUAAUACGAAGGGGGCUAGCGUUGCUCGGAAUGACUGGGCGUAAAGCGCACGUAGGCGGCUUUGUAAGUUAGAGGUGAAAGCCUGGAGCUCAACUCCAGAAUUGCCUUUAAGACUGCAUCGCUUGAAUCGCGGAGAGGUGAGUGGAAUUCCGAGUGUAGAGGUGAAAUUCGUAGAUAUUCGGAAGAACACCAGUGGCGAAGGCGGCUCACUGGACGCGUAUUGACGCUGAGGUGCGAAAGCGUGGGGAGCAAACAGGAUUAGAUACCCGGGUAGUCCCUGUCUCUUAUAC
RNAcentral lists this ribosomal RNA (301 nucleotides) under uncultured bacterium. Its description in RNAcentral is "partial 16S ribosomal RNA". It matches the Rfam family "Bacterial small subunit ribosomal RNA", at positions 509 to 807 of the family's 1533-position model. The record is from RNAcentral.